GACAGAGGGUGCCAACGUUGCUCGGAAUUACUGGGCGUAAAGCGUGCGCAGGCGGUUUUGUAAGCCAGAUGUGAAAUCCCCGGGCUUAACCUGGGAAUGGCAUUUGGGACUGCAAGGCUUGAGUGCGGCAGAGGAGACUGGAAUUCCUGGUGUAGCAGUGAAAUGCGUAGAUAUCAGGAGGAAUACCGAUGGCGAAGGCAGGUCUCUGGGCUGACACUGACGUCAUGC
RNAcentral lists this ribosomal RNA (228 nucleotides) under uncultured bacterium. Its description in RNAcentral is "partial 16S ribosomal RNA". It matches the Rfam family "Bacterial small subunit ribosomal RNA", at positions 524 to 752 of the family's 1533-position model. The record is from RNAcentral.